This 253-nucleotide ribosomal RNA is filed under the name uncultured bacterium. RNAcentral's name for it is "partial 16S ribosomal RNA". It matches the Rfam family "Bacterial small subunit ribosomal RNA", at positions 524 to 776 of the family's 1533-position model. The record is from RNAcentral.
UACGAAGGGGGCUAGCGUUGCUCGGAAUCACUGGGCGUAAAGCGCACGUAGGCGGAUUGCUAAGUCAGGGGUGAAAUCCUGGAGCUCAACUCCAGAACUGCCCUUGAUACUGGCGGUCUCGAGUCCGGGAGAGGUGAGUGGAACUGCGAGUGUAGAGGUGAAAUUCGUAGAUAUUCGCAAGAACACCGGUGGCGAAGGCGGGUCUCUGGGCCGAUACUGACGCUGAGGAGCGAAAGCGUGGGGAGCAAACAGG